UGUCGAUUGGCAGAGGCGAGCUUGCAGACUGACUGAAAGCUUUGAGAGAUUUCGUGGAUCACUAUAUUCCCCACCUUCUAUAUUUUCCCUCUCCUACCACGGAAAAUCGGUGAACAUGAAGAAAAGGAGAGAGAGAGAGAGGGAGAGAGAGAGAGAGAGAAGAGUAGUAGAUGGUCGAAUAGUGGUAGAUGGUGGAUGGUGGAAUGGAAGUUAUUUUGGUAACUUAGGGAGCCAAGAAUGGGCAGGGAUAGUUUUAACGGCACUGUUUUCUCAUUCUGUAGUGAUUUUAAUAGUGGUAGGAGAUCUGACGAUUGCGCUGACGCGUCAGAGAAGAUAUAAGAGACAAAUUUCCUGAUAUACACCGUACCUUGAAUUCGGAGAGAGAAGCCAUUAAAUCGUCAAGCUCCUUGGUAGCGUUGCUGGCGGUGUGACCAUUGGUAUAACUCUUCUGGGCCUCGCUGCGAUUCAACGAUCCGUGCUGUCUAGGAGGAUAACCAUCGUACACGGGUUGCACCUCCGUGGACGUUUCUUGAAUGGAAUAAAAGGGAAACGCUUACCCGUUUGGUACCGCGGUGCUCAAUUCUUCGAGCAACGAAUCGACGGUGGGCCUUGAAGCUGACAUGCUACUCGGAGAACGAAGCAUCGGACUAGAAUCACCAUUCAUUCCUCCCGAGGAAA
Long non-coding RNA from Bombus pyrosoma, 678 nucleotides. RefSeq lists it as uncharacterized. The record is from RefSeq and is a predicted model, not a curated record. NCBI's taxonomy places the organism in Eukaryota, Metazoa, Arthropoda, Insecta, Hymenoptera, Apidae. The transcript is spliced from 3 exons.